Molecule: ribosomal RNA, 1350 nt
Filed under: Campylobacter jejuni
Lineage: Bacteria; Pseudomonadati; Campylobacterota; Epsilonproteobacteria; Campylobacterales; Campylobacteraceae
Description: partial 23S ribosomal RNA
Rfam family: Bacterial large subunit ribosomal RNA
Source: RNAcentral
GUUUACUAAGUGGUAGGAGAGCGUUCUAUUUGCGUCGAAGGUAUACCGGUAAGGAGUGCUGGAGCGAAUAGAAGUGAGCAUGCAGGCAUGAGUAGCGAUAAUUAAUGUGAGAAUCAUUAACGCCGUAAACCCAAGGUUUCCUACGCGAUGCUCGUCAUCGUAGGGUUAGUCGGGUCCUAAGUCGAGUCCGAAAGGGGUAGACGAUGGCAAAUUGGUUAAUAUUCCAAUACCAACAUUAGUGUGCGAUGGAAGGACGCUUAGGGCUAAGGGGGCUAGCGGAUGGAAGUGCUAGUCUAAGGUCGUAGGAGGUUGUACAGGCAAAUCCGUAUAACAAUACUCCGAGAACUGAAAGGCUUUUUGAAGUCUUCGGAUGGAUAGAAGAACCCCUGAUGCCGUCGAGCCAAGAAAAGUUUCUAAGUUUAGCUAAUGUUGCCCGUACCGUAAACCGACACAGGUGGGUGGGAUGAGUAUUCUAAGGCGCGUGGAAGAACUCUCUUUAAGGAACUCUGCAAAAUAGCACCGUAUCUUCGGUAUAAGGUGUGGUUAGCUUUGUAUUAGGAUUUACUCCGAAAGCAAGGAAACUUACAACAAAGAGUCCCUCCCGACUGUUUACCAAAAACACAGCACUCUGCUAACUCGUAAGAGGAUGUAUAGGGUGUGACGCCUGCCCGGUGCUCGAAGGUUAAUUGAUGGGGUUAGCAUUAGCGAAGCUCUUGAUCGAAGCCCGAGUAAACGGCGGCCGUAACUAUAACGGUCCUAAGGUAGCGAAAUUCCUUGUCGGUUAAAUACCGACCUGCAUGAAUGGCGUAACGAGAUGGGAGCUGUCUCAAAGAGGGAUCCAGUGAAAUUGUAGUGGAGGUGAAAAUUCCUCCUACCCGCGGCAAGACGGAAAGACCCCGUGGACCUUUACUACAGCUUGACACUGCUACUUGGAUAAGAAUGUGCAGGAUAGGUGGGAGGCUUUGAGUAUAUGACGCCAGUUGUAUAUGAGCCAUUGUUGAGAUACCACUCUUUCUUAUUUGGGUAGCUAACCAGCUUGAGUUAUCCUCAAGUGGGACAAUGUCUGGUGGGUAGUUUGACUGGGGCGGUCGCCUCCCAAAUAAUAACGGAGGCUUACAAAGGUUGGCUCAGAACGGUUGGAAAUCGUUCGUAGAGUAUAAAGGUAUAAGCCAGCUUAACUGCAAGACAUACAAGUCAAGCAGAGACGAAAGUCGGUCUUAGUGAUCCGGUGGUUCUGUGUGGAAGGGCCAUCGCUCAAAGGAUAAAAGGUACCCCGGGGAUAACAGGCUGAUCUCCCCCAAGAGCUCACAUCGACGGGGAGGUUUGGCACCUCGAUGUCGGCUCAUCGCA